GAUGAAGAACGUAGCGAAACGCGAUAAGUAAUGUGAAUUGCAGAAUCCAGUGAAUCAUCGAAUCUUUGAACGCACAUUGCGCCCGCCAGCAUUCUGGCGGGCAUGCCUGUUCGAGCGUCAUUUCAACCCUCGACCUCCCCUUGGGGAGGUCGGCGUUGGGGACCGGCAGCACACCGCCGGCCCUGAAAUGGAGUGGCGGCCCGUCCGCGGCGACCUCUGCGCAGUAAUACAGCUCGCACCGGGACCCCGACGCGGCCACGCCGUAAAACACCCAACUUCUGAACGUUGACCUCGAAUCAGGUAGGACUACCCGCUGAACUUAAGCAUAUAUAAGCGGAGGA
This 341-nucleotide unclassified non-coding RNA is filed under the name soil metagenome. Its description in RNAcentral is "partial contains 5.8S ribosomal RNA, internal transcribed spacer 2, and large subunit ribosomal RNA". The stretch from base 1 to 120 matches the Rfam family "5.8S ribosomal RNA", at positions 35 to 154 of the family's 154-position model. The record is from RNAcentral.